Molecule: ribosomal RNA, 1417 nt
Filed under: uncultured bacterium
Lineage: Bacteria
Description: 16S ribosomal RNA
Rfam family: Bacterial small subunit ribosomal RNA
Source: RNAcentral
ACACAUGCAAGUCGAGCGGUAGCACAGAGAGCUUGCUCUCGGGUGACGAGCGGCGGACGGGUGAGUAAUGUCUGGGAAACUGCCUGAUGGAGGGGGAUAACUACUGGAAACGGUAGCUAAUACCGCAUAACGUCGCAAGACCAAAGUGGGGGACCUUCGGGCCUCAUGCCAUCAGAUGUGCCCAGAUGGGAUUAGCUAGUAGGUGGGGUAACGGCUCACCUAGGCGACGAUCCCUAGCUGGUCUGAGAGGAUGACCAGCCACACUGGAACUGAGACACGGUCCAGACUCCUACGGGAGGCAGCAGUGGGGAAUAUUGCACAAUGGGCGCAAGCCUGAUGCAGCCAUGCCGCGUGUGUGAAGAAGGCCUUCGGGUUGUAAAGCACUUUCAGCGGGGAGGAAGGCGAUAAGGUUAAUAACCUUGUCGAUUGACGUUACCCGCAGAAGAAGCACCGGCUAACUCCGUGCCAGCAGCCGCGGUAAUACGGAGGGUGCAAGCGUUAAUCGGAAUUACUGGGCGUAAAGCGCACGCAGGCGGUCUGUCAAGUCGGAUGUGAAAUCCCCGGGCUCAACCUGGGAACUGCAUUCGAAACUGGCAGGCUAGAGUCUUGUAGAGGGGGGUAGAAUUCCAGGUGUAGCGGUGAAAUGCGUAGAGAUCUGGAGGAAUACCGGUGGCGAAGGCGGCCCCCUGGACAAAGACUGACGCUCAGGUGCGAAAGCGUGGGGAGCAAACAGGAUUAGAUACCCUGGUAGUCCACGCCGUAAACGAUGUCGAUUUGGAGGUUGUGCCCUUGAGGCGUGGCUUCCGGAGCUAACGCGUUAAAUCGACCGCCUGGGGAGUACGGCCGCAAGGUUAAAACUCAAAUGAAUUGACGGGGGCCCGCACAAGCGGUGGAGCAUGUGGUUUAAUUCGAUGCAACGCGAAGAACCUUACCUGGUCUUGACAUCCACAGAACUUAGCAGAGAUGCUUUGGUGCCUUCGGGAACUGUGAGACAGGUGCUGCAUGGCUGUCGUCAGCUCGUGUUGUGAAAUGUUGGGUUAAGUCCCGCAACGAGCGCAACCCUUAUCCUUUGUUGCCAGCGGUUCGGCCGGGAACUCAAAGGAGACUGCCAGUGAUAAACUGGAGGAAGGUGGGGAUGACGUCAAGUCAUCAUGGCCCUUACGACCAGGGCUACACACGUGCUACAAUGGCAUAUACAAAGAGAAGCGACCUCGCGAGAGCAAGCGGACCUCAUAAAGUAUGUCGUAGUCCGGAUUGGAGUCUGCAACUCGACUCCAUGAAGUCGGAAUCGCUAGUAAUCGUAGAUCAGAAUGCUACGGUGAAUACGUUCCCGGGCCUUGUACACACCGCCCGUCACACCAUGGGAGUGGGUUGCAAAAGAAGUAGGUAGCUUAACCUUCGGGAGGGCGCUUACCAC